AGUCCCUAACGAUUGCGAACACCUGAAUGAAGUUGAAGGCUUCAUUUGGUGACCCCGACGUGAUCGUUAGGGAAU
This is a non-coding RNA of Gallus gallus (chicken), 75 nucleotides long. NCBI's taxonomy places the organism in Eukaryota, Metazoa, Chordata, Aves, Galliformes, Phasianidae. The record is from Rfam.